This 306-nucleotide ribosomal RNA is filed under the name Triticum aestivum (bread wheat). RNAcentral's name for it is "partial small subunit ribosomal RNA". The record is from RNAcentral. Lineage: Eukaryota; Viridiplantae; Streptophyta; Magnoliopsida; Poales; Poaceae.
AUGUGUUCAUAUUUUGAUUUAACAUCUCUAAUUGUUGUAGGCACGGAUUCAUCUGGUUCCAUGAUGAGGCCACCGUGUGCUAACCAAGAAGACAUGCCGCACAAGUGGGAGAACACAUCUUUGGACAAGGUGAAGGAGAAAGAUGUGAAGAUUCCGCCGUGUUGGUGUGGAGAUGUUUGCAAGGUGAAAUUGUCCACCGACCGAAAGAAGUCAUGGACGAAAGGAAGGAGAUAUUUUGUAUGCCCCAACUAUGCUUAUGAUCGUGCGCUUCCACCUAACGCAUAUGACCAACCACCGAUAUGUUAG